RNAcentral lists this ribosomal RNA (253 nucleotides) under uncultured bacterium. Its description in RNAcentral is "partial 16S ribosomal RNA". It matches the Rfam family "Bacterial small subunit ribosomal RNA", at positions 524 to 776 of the family's 1533-position model. The record is from RNAcentral.
UACGGGGGGGGCAAGCGUUGUUCGGAAUUACUGGGCGUAAAGCGUGCGCAGGCGGUGAUGUAAGACAGUUGUGAAAUCCCCGGGCUCAACCUGGGAACUGCAUCUGUGACUGCAUCGCUGGAGUGCGGCAGAGGGGGAUGGAAUUCCGCGUGUAGCAGUGAAAUGCGUAGAGAUGUGGAGGAAUACCGAUGGCGAAGGCAGCCCCCUGGGAUAACACUGACGCUCAUGCACGAAAGCGUGGGGAGCAAACAGG